Molecule: ribosomal RNA, 253 nt
Filed under: uncultured bacterium
Lineage: Bacteria
Description: partial 16S ribosomal RNA
Rfam family: Bacterial small subunit ribosomal RNA
Source: RNAcentral
UACGUAGGGGGCAAGCGUUGUCCGGAUUUAUUGGGCGUAAAGGGCGCGUAGGCUGCGGGGUAAGUCGGGUGUGAAAUCUCAGAGCUCAACUCUGAAACUGCACUCGAUACUGCUUUGCUUGAGGACUGGAGAGGAGAUUGGAAUUCACGGUGUAGCAGUGAAAUGCGUAGAUAUCGUGAGGAAGACCAGUGGCGAAGGCGGAUCUCUGGACAGUUCCUGACGCUGAGGCACGAAGGUCAGGGGAGCAAACGGG